GCCGGGCAUGGUGGCUCAUGCCUGUAAUCCCAGCAAUUUGGGAGGCCGAGGUGGGUGGAUCACCUGAGGUCGGGAGUUUGAAACCAGCCUGACCAACAUGGAGAAACCCCAUCUCUA
RNAcentral lists this non-coding RNA (117 nucleotides) under Gorilla gorilla gorilla (western lowland gorilla). Lineage: Eukaryota; Metazoa; Chordata; Mammalia; Primates; Hominidae. The record is from Rfam by way of RNAcentral.